UGUUCAGGUGCAAGCACUGCAGCGCAGGGUCCCAGGCCGCAGCCUGUCUCCUACUCGUCGUGCAGCUGCCCCAGACAAGCCUGAUGUGGGCCAGUUCACAGAUCCAGAGCCUAAGGAGGAGGCCAGCAUCCCUUGAAGAAGGAUUGUGAAACACUGCCACAAGUAUAUACUGUCUGAUAAAUGUGAUGGAGCAAGUCAUCAUAACACCUGGAUCUCAACUAUUG
Non-coding RNA from Kogia breviceps (pygmy sperm whale), 224 nucleotides. The record is from RefSeq and is a predicted model, not a curated record. Lineage: Eukaryota; Metazoa; Chordata; Mammalia; Artiodactyla; Physeteridae.